UUGGCAAAUUGAAUGACUCCUUGAAGUAUGUGAUAUUUUUGGAAUAUGUUGUAAAUGCAUUGACGAUAGCCACAGUCUCAGUUCAACUAAUAGCGGUACAGGUUAGUUCAUGGAAUGGAUGAAAGUUUCAGUUUUUCAGAUUUGUAGUUCGACCCAAAACAAAUGACCUAUUCGAUUCCCUUCUUCGGAAUUGUCUUCUCUCAAAGUUUCGUCGUUGGAUGGAGCGCAAAUGAGAUAAAGAUUCAAAGUUCAGCGUUAGCGGACGCAAUCUAUAAAAGUGGGUGGUAUGAACAAAAUGUCCUGGUUCAAAAGAUGUUACUUACUAUGAUGAUGAAAGCUCAUAGACCUUUGGUGCUGACCAUUGGCCCGUUUGGCCCAAUGACUACUCAGUCUGCUGUAGCUAUAGUGAAAGGAUCAUACUCAUACAUCACCGUUAUGAUGAAAAAUUAGAUAUGUGGUGUUCCAUGCCAAACCGGAUCGUUUAAGGAAAAAAGGUGUUUUGGAUUUUAUUAAAUUUUGGUUAGUUAGUUUUGGUACCAAGUAGAGUCAUUCAAGUGCGAAAAGGCACUUCGUUGCACAUUGCACUUGCUUAUAGAUCUUACAGCAUACUGAGAAAUGUAAAUAAUUUGCAAAUGUCAAAAUUAAACUCUCGGUGCAGGAAAAGUUUGGUUUUCUUUUGUAAUAUGAAAAUUUCAUUAUUAAAACUACAAAAAAUAUCUUUUCGAAUACCGAAGAUUCGAGCAAAAUAGUUAAUACAAAUUCAAUAAUUUAAAUAUUAAAUAAUUAAUAAAUUCUUAAGUAUUUUUGACUAAACAUUUCGUCGAAGAGUGGGGGAGAGACGAAGUAUAAAAACCUUUUUCUCUCAAGGUCUUGCAGACUCACAUAUUUUAUUUUUUUUAUUAUUUUUUAUUUUAUAUUUAUUUAUAUAACAAUAUUUUAUAUAACAAGUUUAAUAAACGUUAUUUAGUCACGAGUUUGAUUUGGCAAAAGUCCCUAGUGUUAAUAUAUGAGUGAUUGAAUACAUUUAUCAAGUGUUGCUUAAUUUUUCUACGACUAUUGGUUUUCGGGUGCAUUUUUGCAAAACAGCACUAAUAUAUGUAUUUAGUGAGUCAUGUGUGACGUGACCUUCAGAAAUGACAAACGUCUUUCCAAACAUGACAUCAUUCUGAAAAAUAUACGAUAAUCUCUUCUGGUGGGAAGCAUUUAUGGAUG
Long non-coding RNA from Cylas formicarius (sweet potato weevil), 1212 nucleotides. RefSeq lists it as uncharacterized. The transcript has 3 exons. Lineage: Eukaryota; Metazoa; Arthropoda; Insecta; Coleoptera; Brentidae. The record is from RefSeq and is a predicted model, not a curated record.